This 433-nucleotide ribosomal RNA is filed under the name uncultured bacterium. RNAcentral describes it as "partial 16S ribosomal RNA". It matches the Rfam family "Bacterial small subunit ribosomal RNA", at positions 29 to 507 of the family's 1533-position model. The record is from RNAcentral.
AACGAACGCUGGCGGCAUGCCUAACACAUGCAAGUCGAACGAGACCUUCGGGUCUAGUGGCGCACGGGUGCGUAACGCGUGGGAACCUGCCCUUAGGUUCGGAAUAACUCCCCGAAAGGGGUGCUAAUACCGGAUAAUGUCUUUGGACCAAAGAUUUAUCGCCUUUGGAUGGGCCCGCGUUGGAUUAGCUAGUUGGUAGGGUAAAAGCCUACCAAGGCGACGAUCCAUAGCUGGUCUGAGAGGAUGAUCAGCCACACUGGGACUGAGACACGGCCCAGACUCCUACGGGAGGCAGCAGUGGGGAAUAUUGGACAAUGGGCGAAAGCCUGAUCCAGCAAUGCCGCGUGAGUGAUGAAGGCCUUAGGGUUGUAAAGCUCUUUUACCCGGGAUGAUAAUGACAGUACCGGGAGAAUAAGCGCCGGCUAACUCCGUG